RNAcentral lists this long non-coding RNA (1606 nucleotides) under Hordeum vulgare. RNAcentral's name for it is "long non-coding RNA (HVUL_LNC007362)". Lineage: Eukaryota; Viridiplantae; Streptophyta; Magnoliopsida; Poales; Poaceae. The record is from RNAcentral.
AGGGUGUCGCCAACUUCUGGGUCUCGAUGUCCUUGUUCCUCAUGGAGGUACUUCUGUUGGUGUCGUCUGGUCGUAGAGUUGUCAUAUUUGUUCUUCAGCACAAGGGUGGUCGCUUGGAAAGAUUGCUUCUUUUCGAGUUGCCCAAGAGGAUUUUAAGUAAUCACAUGGUCAGGAAUAAGGGGGCUAGCAGCUAUUUGCAAGUUUUAAACAUGCCGACGAGGGAUGUCAAGAAGAUAAGAGUGGGAGUGCUAAGGUAAAACCUUGCUUUCUUUGAAAAUUUAGGAGAGGUGAGAAAGAUACAGGUUUGUAAAUACUUUUGAAGGGUCUGGAAAGCUGUUUUAUUGUAAUUAAAGUCCGUGCUAACUAAGGGCUUCCUACAGUCAGGAUGGCUCUGAUACCAGCUCUGUGGGGACCGGACUUACGAGUCGAGAUCACCGAGUGAAAGUGCUCAGUGAUCCCAGAGAUCAAUGCUCACCGAACACAGAGAACCUUAAUAACAAGAGUCUUACAUCCAUACAUACUGUUUGAUACAAUAAAUGACCAUUAUGGUCAAGUCUUACAUACGUAGGGACUUGAGGGCCAACACACCAAACUGGACCAAUAGCGGAAAUAUUGAUCAAAAGCGCGAACCCAUGCCAUCAGCCUCAACCUACAAGCAUUCUGACUGGGAAGCGUCCUAGCUCGGAAGAACGUCACCAAGUUACUCUUCACCAUAUCCUUUGCUCUCAAAGCUGCUCAAUGAAAUAGCAAAUGGGAAGCCAUUGAGUACUUUUGAUUGUACUCCCAAACAACGCAUGAUAUGAACAAUGCAAGUGAAGGAUAACAAUAAUGUGUAUCUUUGGUGGACAACAACUUGGUUGUAAUAACAUGAUCAUGGGUUUGCAACAUAAGUUAAAUGUUACUUGAAUAAUAGGUUACAGAUACCAAUAUAUCUGUCGAGGGUUGAACACUCCGGGUUCACCCUAUAUGCCAAGUCACCAAACUUGGUCAUAUCAACUAUUUCUUAAUAACACCAUACUCACACACACUUGGUUUAUGCGAAAAUAAUUGGACAUAGUUUAAGCAGCACCACCCAACUGUCCUUGACCGUGGACACGGCUAUUCGAAUAGUUUUACACUCUGCAUAGGUAGUACACUGGACCCACGAGAUCCGGGAAACUUCCGUGUCAUCCACGACUUGCUGUAUAUAACAUACCCGAGGUAAGUUCCGGAUCAAUGCCUUUCCCUUGACGAUACUAGACAAAGAGGUCCACUCGAUUGGUACCUAGGCCACAUGUUGUAGGUCUUACGAGCACCGUCUCCAGACAGUAUCAACCAUGCGGGGACCAACGGUGUGCAUGGAACACGUAAAAACGGCAUAGUCGCCCUACCUGGCACGACCCGAUUUCGACAGUGACCACACAUAACUCUCUCCACUAGUAAUGUGGCUCUUUGCUAGCACCGACCAGAGUAGUCAACAAAGCCCUGUCCCAUAAAGGGGUAACAUGGUCGUACAUGUAAGGUUGGGACGGUCGACACAUCAUAAAUCGAAUCCCAUUUCCAAAACCAUACUCACUCAAAAUACCCGGUGUACCACUUCUCCGAAAGUGGCCACCUAACUCAUCAU